AGUGAACGCUGGCGGUAGGCCUAACACAUGCAAGUCGAACGGCAGCACAGUAAGAGCUUGCUCUUACGGGUGGCGAGUGGCGGACGGGUGAGGAAUACAUCGCAAUCUACUUUUUCGUGGGGGAUAACGUAGGGAAACUUACGCUAAUACCGCAUACGACCUACGGGUGAAAGCAGGGGAUCUUCGGACCUUGCGCGAUUGAAUGAGCCGAUGUCGGAUUAGCUAGUUGGCUGGGUAAAGGCCCACCAAGGCGACGAUCCGUAGCUGGUCUGAGAGGAUGAUCAGCCACACUGGAACUGAGACACGGUCCAGACUCCUACGGGAGGCAGCAGUGGGGAAUAUUGGACAAUGGGCGAAAGCCUGAUCCAGCCAUACCGCGUGAGUGAAGAAGGCCUUCGGGUUGUAAAGCCCUUUUAUUGGGAAAGAAAAGCAGCAGGUUAAUACCCCGCUGUUCUGACGGUACCCAAAGAAUAAGCACCGGCUAACUUCGUG
Molecule: ribosomal RNA, 492 nt
Filed under: uncultured bacterium
Lineage: Bacteria
Description: partial 16S ribosomal RNA
Rfam family: Bacterial small subunit ribosomal RNA
Source: RNAcentral